UCAAACUAAUAUAGAAGGAGAAAAAAAAAAUCCAUCCGCCAGUCGGAGGGAGAGGCGGAAGGACAUGCAGUAGUUCGGCAUUCACGUAAGGAAAAAGGAAACUGAAACUUAACCAGAACAGAAUCUCCGCCAAAACGAAACCUCCGCCAAAGCCGAAUCUCCGCCAAAAUUGAGAAAGAAAGUGCACAACAGUUAAAAAACCAUCAUCAAGUCCCGGAGUGGCAGCCGGUUUUUCACCUUUCAACUUUCUACUUUCUACUUUCAACUUUCCAACGUUAUACUUUUUACCUGCCUUUCUGCUGCAUUUAUGAUGCAAUAAAUGGAUGAGUGGAAUCCAGUUAAAAC
Danio rerio (zebrafish) is the source of this 345-nucleotide non-coding RNA. The record is from RefSeq and is a predicted model, not a curated record. Lineage: Eukaryota; Metazoa; Chordata; Actinopteri; Cypriniformes; Danionidae.